ACGCUGGCGGCGUGCUUAACACAUGCAAGUCGAACGCGAAAGGGACUUCGGUCCUGAGUAAAGUGGCGCACGGGUGAGUAACGCGUAGAUAACCUGUCUUCAUGUCUGGAAUAAUACGCCGAAAGGGGUACUAAUACCGGAUAUUCUUGCUUUUCAUAAGUUAUGCAAGCAAAGGUGGCCUCUGCAUAUGCUACUGCAUGAAGAGGGGUCUGCGUACCAUUAGCUAGUAGGUGGGGUAAUGGCCUACCUAGGCGACGAUGGUUAGCGGGUCUGAGAGGAUGAUCCGCCACACUGGCACUGGAACACGGGCCAGACUCCUACGGGAGGCAGCAGUGAGGAAUAUUGCGCAAUGGGGGAAACCCUGACGCAGCGACGCCGCGUGAGUGAGGAAAGGCCUUCGGGUCGUAAAGCUCUGUCAAGAGGAAAGAAGUGUACAAUGGCUAAUACCUGUUGUAUUUGACGGUACCUCUAAAGGAAGCACCGGCUAACUCCGUGCCAGCAGCUGC
This 506-nucleotide ribosomal RNA is filed under the name uncultured bacterium. RNAcentral describes it as "bacterial SSU rRNA". It matches the Rfam family "Bacterial small subunit ribosomal RNA", at positions 33 to 518 of the family's 1533-position model. The record is from RNAcentral.